UUCUCAGAUCAUUGACCCAUUUCGAAUUCUUUGCGAAUGUCUAGACUUGUUUUUGACCUGCGCACUGUGAAUGUUGAAGUCACAAGCUUUAAACAAUGCAUUUAAUUAUUUAGAUAAUGAAACUUUGACAGUAUUACAAAUUCGGGCAGACAUAUUAUUUGAUGCUAAAUUUUCUAUUCGUAAAAUUUCGUGUAAUUUUGUUUUCGAUUGAGUAGUGAAAACUAUUUUCUUAUUGAUAUAGGUAAGAUAUAAUUCUCUUUAUGUAAAAAUUAACGAAAUUUGUCCAAUUAAAGUUUCCAGGAAAACGAACGAAUUCAGUGUAUUACAUUUUAUGGAAAGCAUAGGUUUUAUCAAUUUUUUGUUAAUAUUUUCAAAGUAAUUAAAAUUAAGCAUUUUCUUCAGAUAAUUUGAAAUUGUGUGAAUCAUUAAUUUACUUAUAAACAUUAAACAAACGAUAAUCUAAAAUAUAGCAUCAAAAAGUUCGUUUAUCCUUGUCUGUCUGGACAGCAUGUCGGCCAUCUUUGUAGGUCGACGCAAUUAUUGUUCACGUCAAAUCUUUUCAACUAUAAUGUGUUUUUUCAUAUAAAAAUUUAUAUAGAUAUUAAUAUUAAAACACCUUAUUUCGAUUGUAGUACAAAAUAGUUAUUAUUAGAUAAAUAAAAUACAGAGAUACCCGGAUCUGUUUAAUAACGACUAAAAAAUCUUUCGAUUUCUAGUUUUAAAAAUGUGACUAAUGUUGAAAAUUUUCAUUGGAAACUUUGGAAAUUUUCAGUAUAUCGAUAGAAAAUAGUUUUUAUUUUAAAAUUUUCGUGAAACGGAUUGAAAAUAAACAUUAAAAGAAUUUUCCGUGUUUCAAUACAAUAUUGUGUGGUGAAAAUCAUGGAUACCCAGAAAAUUUUUAACUACCAAGAUGAUCAUUUCCUCAUUUGUGAAAUGGUUCAUUCAAUUCCUUACUUGAUGACUCCUGAGUUUGUAUUUCCUGAUUUUGAAUAUCAGAUGACAUCCCAGUACUGGUAGGAGCAGUGCUAUUACUGGCUGACCGGCCCUCCAUGUCUGCAACUUCAACAUCGGAAGGUGUUUGUGCGCGAUUCGACGCUAAAUUUUAACCCGUUAACGAAACGAAAAAUAUAUAUAGUGUGCGAAUCGAUAAAGUGGUUUGCCAAAAGGAAGGAAUAAAUAACAAAAAAACAUAUUUCUUCAAUUUUUAUAACAAAUAUGUAUUUCAAACUACAAAUAUGUGUUUCCAAAAUGGAAAUGCUGCUGUAUCAGGAAUAUAUAAAUACAUGUAAAAUUCU
Long non-coding RNA from Diorhabda carinulata, 1295 nucleotides. RefSeq lists it as uncharacterized. The record is from RefSeq and is a predicted model, not a curated record. NCBI's taxonomy places the organism in Eukaryota, Metazoa, Arthropoda, Insecta, Coleoptera, Chrysomelidae. The transcript has 3 exons.